CUACGGGAGGCAGCAGUAGGGAAUUUUCGUCAAUGGGCGCAAGCCUGAACGAGCAAUGCCGCGCGAACGAGGAAGGUCUUCGGAUCGUAAAGUUCUGUUGAAGGGGAAAAAGAGCGGAGAGAGGAAAUGGUCUCCGAUUGAUAUUACCCUUCGAGGAAGUCACGGCUAACUACGUGCCAGCAGCCGCGGUAAUACGUAGGUGGCGAGCGUUAUCCGGAAUGAUUGGGCGUAAAGGGUGCGUAGGCGGCCUGCUAAGUCUGGAGUGAAAGGUACCGGCUCAACCGGUACAGGCUCUGGAAACUGGG
RNAcentral lists this ribosomal RNA (305 nucleotides) under uncultured bacterium. Its description in RNAcentral is "bacterial SSU rRNA". It matches the Rfam family "Bacterial small subunit ribosomal RNA", at positions 339 to 637 of the family's 1533-position model. The record is from RNAcentral.